UACGGGAGGCAGCAGUGGGGAAUAUUGCACAAUGGGCGCAAGCCUGAUGCAGCCAUGCCGCGUGUAUGAAGAAGGCCUUCGGGUUGUAAAGUACUUUCAGUCGUGAGGAAGGUGUUAAGGUUAAUAACCUUAGCAAUUGACGUUAGCGACAGAAGAAGCACCGGCUAACUCCGUGCCAGCAGCCGCGGUAAUACGGAGGGUGCGAGCGUUAAUCGGAAUUACUGGGCGUAAAGGGCACGCAGGCGGUUAAUUAAGUUGGAUGUGAAAUCCCCGGGCUUAACCUGGGAAUGGCAUUCAAGACUGGUUAGCUAGAGUCUUGUAGAGGGGGUAGAAUUCCAUGUGUAGCGGUGAAAUGCGUAAAGAUGUGGAGGAAUACCGGUGGCGAAGGCGGCCCCUGGACAAAGACUGACGCUCAUGUGCGAAAGCUGGGGAGCAAACAGGGAUUAGAUACC
RNAcentral lists this ribosomal RNA (452 nucleotides) under uncultured bacterium. RNAcentral's name for it is "bacterial SSU rRNA". It matches the Rfam family "Bacterial small subunit ribosomal RNA", at positions 340 to 786 of the family's 1533-position model. The record is from RNAcentral.